AUGGCACCGGAGCACCUUUUGGCGACAUUUGCAAAGUUAUGUGCUGAGAUUCUAGCAGCUGCAUCAGAUGGUAUGCUCAAUAUAGAUGAUAUAACUGGACAGUCUGUUCUUCAGGUACUGAUCAUCUGGACAUUUGUAGACCGUGCCUGCCAAAAAAUAUAGUGUUUUUCUUUCAUGAUAAUGUUAUGACAGCAGCCAAUCUCAGCAUUUAUUAUAUGUUUAUGGAGCAGGAUGCUUUCCAGAUUCUUGCCUGCAAAGAGAUCCGAGUCUCAUCCCAUCGUGGAGCUGCAUCCGAUUCAGCAGAGGUAGAGGAAGAUGGUGAUAGCAGCGCAUCUGCAGCUGCUGCAAAAGGAAGGGCUAUAACACAAGCUGUGAGAAAGGGUCUUAUUCAAAACACUAUCCCAAUUUUUAUAGAGCUAAAACGGCUACUAGAAAACAAGAACAGCCCUCUCACAGGUUCCCUCAUGGAAUGCCUGCGAGUCCUUCUCAAGGACUACAAAAACGAGAUCGAUGACAUGUUGGUUGCAGAUAAACAGCUUCAAAAAGAGCUUAUAUAUGACAUACAGAAAUAUGAGUCAGCAAAGGCUCGAACAACAGCUGCAGAAGCAGUUGCAGGCAUGCAAAACCAAGGUGUCUAUCGAUCACCACCUUGCGUUCCGAAAGCUGCAACUGGAGCUGAUCCUGAAAACAAGAUGAACCAGAAGU
This 705-nucleotide long non-coding RNA is filed under the name Gossypium barbadense (sea-island cotton). RNAcentral describes it as "long non-coding RNA (GBAR_LNC009455)". Lineage: Eukaryota; Viridiplantae; Streptophyta; Magnoliopsida; Malvales; Malvaceae. The record is from RNAcentral.